AGACGGAGGGGGCUAGCGUUAUUCGGAAUUACCGGGCGUAAAGGGCGCGUAGGCGGAUUAGUAAGUUGGGAGUGAAAGCCCGGGGCUUAACCUCGGAACUGCUUUCAAAACUGCUAGUCUUGAGUGAAGUAGGGGGUGAUGGAAUUCCUAGUGUAGAGGUGAAAUUCUUAGAUAUUAGGAGGAACACCGGUGGCGAAGGCGGUCACCUGGACUUCAACUGACGCUGAGGCGCGAAAGCGUGGGGAGCAAACAGGAUUAGAAACCCUAGUAGUCC
Molecule: ribosomal RNA, 274 nt
Filed under: uncultured bacterium
Lineage: Bacteria
Description: partial 16S ribosomal RNA
Rfam family: Bacterial small subunit ribosomal RNA
Source: RNAcentral